This 442-nucleotide ribosomal RNA is filed under the name uncultured bacterium. Its description in RNAcentral is "bacterial SSU rRNA". It matches the Rfam family "Bacterial small subunit ribosomal RNA", at positions 338 to 795 of the family's 1533-position model. The record is from RNAcentral.
CCUACGGGGGGCAGCAGUGGGGAAUUUUGGACAAUGGGCGAAACCCUGAUGCAGCAACGCCGCGUGAGCGAUGAAGGCCUUCGGGUCGUAAACUUCUAUCAGCAGGGAAGAAGGAAGUGACGGUACCUGAAUAAGAAGCCCCGGCUAACUACGUGCCAGCAGCCGCGGUAAUACGUAGGGGGCUAGCGUUAUCCGGAAUUACUGGGCGUAAAGGGUGCGUAGGCGGCCCUUCAAGUCAGAGGUGAAAGGCUACGGCUCAACCGUAGUAAGGCUUUGAAACUGUAGGGCUUGAGUGCAGGAGAGGAGAGUGGAAUUCCCAGUGUAGCGGUGAAAUGCGUAGAUAUUGGGAGGAACACCAGUUGCGAAGGCGGCUCUCUGGACUGUAACUGACGCUGAGGCACGAAAGCGUGGGGAGCGAACAGGAUUAGAUACCCUAGUAGUC